UACAGAGGUGGCAAGCGUUAUUCGGAAUUAUUGGGCGUAAAGGGCGCGUAGGCGGCUUUUCAAGUGACGGGUGAAAUCCCUCGGCUUAACCGAGGAACUGCCUGUCAGACUGGAAGGCUUGAGACCGGGAGAGGUGAGUGGAAUUCCCAGUGUAGCGGUGAAAUGCGUAGAUAUUGGGAGGAACACCAGUGGCGAAGGCGGCUCACUGGACCGGAACUGACGCUGAGGCGCGAAAGCGUGGGGAGCAAACAGG
This 253-nucleotide ribosomal RNA is filed under the name uncultured bacterium. RNAcentral's name for it is "partial 16S ribosomal RNA". It matches the Rfam family "Bacterial small subunit ribosomal RNA", at positions 524 to 776 of the family's 1533-position model. The record is from RNAcentral.